Molecule: ribosomal RNA, 344 nt
Filed under: Burkholderiaceae bacterium
Lineage: Bacteria; Pseudomonadati; Pseudomonadota; Betaproteobacteria; Burkholderiales; Burkholderiaceae
Description: bacterial SSU rRNA
Rfam family: Bacterial small subunit ribosomal RNA
Source: RNAcentral
GAACUAAAGAGUUUGAUCCUGGCUCAGAUUGAACGCUGGCGGUAUGCUUUACACAUGCAAGUCGAACGGCAGCAUAGGUGCUUGCACCUGAUGGCGAGUGGCGAACGGGUGAGUAAUGCAUCGGAACGUGCCCAGUCGUGGGGGAUAACGCAGCGAAAGCUGUGCUAAUACCGCAUACGAUCUAUGGAUGAAAGCGGGGGACCUUCGGGCCUCGCGCGAUUGGAGCGGCCGAUGUUAGAUUAGGUAGUUGGUGAGGUAAAGGCUCACCAAGCCUACGAUCUAUAGCUGGUCUGAGAGGACGACCAGCCACACUGGAACUGAGACACGGUCCAGACUCCUACGGG